RNAcentral lists this long non-coding RNA (238 nucleotides) under Lathyrus oleraceus (garden pea). RNAcentral describes it as "Pisum sativum (pea) long non-coding RNA (PSAT_LNC025076)". The record is from RNAcentral. Lineage: Eukaryota; Viridiplantae; Streptophyta; Magnoliopsida; Fabales; Fabaceae.
ACUUUCUUUUAUUAUGUCAAUAAUUACUUUAUAUAUCUUAAUUAGUAUAUCCAUAGAUACAAAAUAAUGGUAAUAUGGUGACCCGAUUGUACUUCUUUCUUUCUUUCUUUUAUAUGUAUUUUCUAUAAUACAUGUAUCUAUCCAGCUACAUCUAUGUUUUUAUUUUAUUUUUUAACUUCAAUUUAUAAUUGUAAACAAAUACGUAUAUCAGAGUAGAAUCCGUGCGUACGCAUAAUUU